CGAUAAUGUGAUCGUACCACCGGAACU
This 27-nucleotide small RNA is filed under the name Bombyx mori (domestic silkworm). RNAcentral's name for it is "ovarian small RNA-14246". The record is from RNAcentral. Lineage: Eukaryota; Metazoa; Arthropoda; Insecta; Lepidoptera; Bombycidae.